UCCAUGUUUUACAUUCCAUAUUCCAUCAGAAGAACCACUAACGUAAUCAAAACAUUCUGCGCUUACAUUUACAAUAGAUUUAUAUUGAGAAAUAUGCAUUGUUUCAGAACCACAAGGUUUCAGGAAUCUCGCAAAGAAAGAAAAGUUUUUUCCUGCGACCCAAACAGUGGAUUCAGAAAGAAUAUCGACGGCAAUUAAACGAGUCCUGAAGGACAAUUUGGCAUUAUUAU
This 230-nucleotide long non-coding RNA is filed under the name Manihot esculenta (cassava). RNAcentral's name for it is "long non-coding RNA (MESC_LNC004290)". Lineage: Eukaryota; Viridiplantae; Streptophyta; Magnoliopsida; Malpighiales; Euphorbiaceae. The record is from RNAcentral.